Molecule: transfer RNA, 57 nt
Filed under: Bos taurus (domestic cattle)
Lineage: Eukaryota; Metazoa; Chordata; Mammalia; Artiodactyla; Bovidae
Also listed under: 2 other names
Rfam family: tRNA
About the family: Transfer RNA (tRNA) molecules are approximately 80 nucleotides in length. Their secondary structure includes four short double-helical elements and three loops (D, anti-codon, and T loops).
Source: Rfam by way of RNAcentral
UAGUUCAGUCGGUAAAGUAUCUGCUUGCAGUGCAGGAGAUCCAGGUUCGAUCCCUGG